ACGUGCGAUCUAACUGGCUCAGCCGAGACCACUUCCCGGACACCCUUUAUAAACGAGAAAUAAUUUAUUCUCUAGGCCACCGCAUGGGAGCCUCAAUGACUCAUUCGCGUCAUAGAUGACAGGAUGAAGAAUGGCAAUACCCUUUGCUGUUUUGACUAACAAUCGCGGAGAGAACGGACGAAAUUUGUAAAGAAACUGAAUGCGAAGAUGGUCGGGCGACUUGAGAUGCAGCUGGCGUUCUUAGCAGCAAUUCAACUUCAACGAGGUAUGCCAAAUUCUUCUUCAAUAACAGACUCGUCAUUCCUUUCCGCUGCGGCUGGUUGCGAAGCGUCCGAAGAAAAGAACGUUCUUUGGGAAUAAGAAAAUAAGCUAUGAAUGGACAAUGGGAUCCAAUUAAUUAGCCGUGAUAAGAGAAUCCGAUAAGGCCCGUUUGCAUUACCGAAGCGCUUGCGGUCAAUCGUUAUCGAAACAGGAAUUGAUUUUUGUGCACUUAUUUCCCUCGAUAUCUCACGUCAGUGAGCUGCUUUCGUAGUUCUUAUUAAAGUAUUUCACUCGCUCCUUUUUUACAGCCGUUUCGACUAGGAAAUAAGGUCGAGAGAUAAGGAAUAAUUCUCCUCACGAAGAUUAGAGUUACAACGGUCUGCGAGGUUCUUGUUUAUUUCUUAUUUACCUUCCUGCCAAGGACCAGGUGUAGCAUUUCCGGCUACCAUUUAUCUGGGUUCAACUCAAAGCCCCUCGAACUUGUUUACAGCUGUGUACAGUGAGGCCGUGGUGCAUUCAAAGUGAAGGGACUUGUGCGGGAUCAACAUUGUCUUGUAUUGUAACGUAAUCGCCUUUCGAGAACGUUCCCAUUCGAAGGGUCUCUCUUGGUCUUCGUGUUCUCGGACGCUCUCCUGAGCGCGAAUUCGAGUCUCUUUGUGCUUGCUAAUUUCUGACUCGUUGAGUUCAAACGAUUCUUCACUAGUCGUCGGGAAAUCACGACUGAAACUUUGGCAGAUCGAGGGGGCAGAUCAGUGUGAAAAAAAAAACGCAAAAGAGCUUCUGUCUGGUCCAGGGACAACAGACUAAUCGAUUCUGGCUGUGGCACUUGUGCUGUCAACCGUCGCGGAGUCUUUUUUUGAGAGGCCACUUUGCGUCCGCUCCUCUGCUUAAUAAAAUGCACUAAAUAUCAAAAAAUGUCCUUGUAUACUUCAUUACUUCAAUAAUUGAUACACAAAAUUUCAAAUAA
Molecule: long non-coding RNA, 1228 nt
Organism: Venturia canescens
Lineage: Eukaryota; Metazoa; Arthropoda; Insecta; Hymenoptera; Ichneumonidae
Exons: 3
Source: RefSeq, a predicted model, not a curated record